This 253-nucleotide ribosomal RNA is filed under the name uncultured bacterium. Its description in RNAcentral is "partial 16S ribosomal RNA". It matches the Rfam family "Bacterial small subunit ribosomal RNA", at positions 524 to 776 of the family's 1533-position model. The record is from RNAcentral.
UACGUAGGGUGCGAGCGUUGUCCGGAAUUAUUGGGCGUAAAGGGCUCGUAGGCGGUCUGUCGCGUCGGGAGUGAAAACUCAGGGCUUAACCCUGAGCCUGCUUCCGAUACGGGCAGACUAGAGGUAUGCAGGGGAGAACGGAACUCCUGGUGUAGCGGUGAAAUGCGCAGAUAUCAGGAGGAACACCGGUGGCGAAGGCGGUUCUCUGGGCAUUACCUGACGCUGAGGAGCGAAAGUGUGGGGAGCGAACAGG